Molecule: ribosomal RNA, 462 nt
Filed under: uncultured bacterium
Lineage: Bacteria
Description: partial 16S ribosomal RNA
Rfam family: Bacterial small subunit ribosomal RNA
Source: RNAcentral
AUGAACGCUGCCAGAAUGCUUAACACAUGCCAGUCUUUGGCGAAGCUGUGCUUGCACAGCCUAGCCAAGGCGGACGGGUGAGUAACGCGUAAGGAACUUGCCCUGCAGUCAGGGAUAACAGACGGAAACGACUGAUAAGACCUGGUAAAGUCAGGCGGACUCAUGUCCAGCCUGAUGAAAAGAGAUGCUGCAGGAGAGCCUUGCGUCCUAUUAGCUUGUUGGUGGGGUAACGGCCCACCAAGGCGAUGAUAGGUAGCCGGCCUGAGAGGGUGGACGGCCACAAGGGGACUGAGAUACGGCCCUUACUCCUACGGGAGGCAGCAGUGGGGAAUAUUGGACAAUGGGGGCAACCCUGAUCCAGCAAUUCUGUGUGCACGAUGAAGGUUUUCGGAUUGUAAAGUGCUUUCAGCAGGGAAGAAAAAAAUGACGGUACCUGCAGAAGAAGCGACGGCUAAAUACGUG